RNAcentral lists this ribosomal RNA (614 nucleotides) under uncultured cyanobacterium. RNAcentral's name for it is "bacterial SSU rRNA". It matches the Rfam family "Bacterial small subunit ribosomal RNA", at positions 122 to 770 of the family's 1533-position model. Lineage: Bacteria; Bacillati; Cyanobacteriota. The record is from RNAcentral.
GAAUCUGGCCUCAGGUCGGGGACAACCACUGGAAACGGUGGCUAAUACCGGAUGUGCCUAUGGGUGAAAGAUUAAUUGCCUGAGGAUGAGCUCGCGUCUGAUUAGCUAGUUGGUGGGGUAAAAGCCUACCAAGGCGACGAUCAGUAACUGGUCUGAGAGGAUGACCAGUCACACUGGGACUGAGACACGGCCCAGACUCCUACGGGAGGCAGCAGUGGGGAAUUUUCCGCAAUGGGCGAAAGCCUGACGGAGCAAUACCGCGUGAGGGAGGAAGGCUCUUGGGUUGUAAACCUCUUUUCUCAGGGAAGAAGAAUGACGGUACCUGAGGAAUCAGCAUCGGCUAACUCCGUGCCAGCAGCCGCGGUAAUACGGAGGAUGCAAGCGUUAUCCGGAAUUAUUGGGCGUAAAGCGUCUGUAGGUGGACGUUCAAGUCUGCUGUCAAAGACCGGGGCUUAACCCUGGAAAGGCGGUGGAAACUGAAAGUCUAGAGUGCGGUAGGGGUAGAGGGAAUUCCCAGUGUAGCGGUGAAAUGCGUAGAGAUUGGGAAGAACACCGGUGGCGAAAGCGCUCUGCUGGGCCUGCACUGACACUAAGGGACGAAAGCUAGGGGAGCG